CACAGGAAAAAAACUUACAAUGGGCCAAUAGCCCUUAUUAGUCCACAAAGAAAAAAAAUUUGAAUAACAAAACAACUACCAUCCCACCUCAGAAGCCCAAGCCCACCUUUUCCUCAUUACACAUAUAUACCUAGUAGGGUUCCUAAAAAGCCAUCUUGCUCAUUCUCCAAAACAACCCUCAACACCGAAAGAAUGUUGCCAUCUUGGUCUAAUGUUGAGCUUCAUUUUCAACAGUUGUGGAUCAUCAACACCCUUUAUUUUGAAUGUUGUGUUGUUGUUAUGACAACUCUUAAGAGUAAACCUGGAAUGGAGUGCAUGGGUAGCUUCAAUUGACCACCCCAUAAAAUAAAAGACGAGAUAUAAGGUUCUACAAAUUUGAUCUGACCAAAGACCCUUUCAUUUUGCCGAGUUCUUUUUGUUGGCUGAAGUACAUAGGCUAGUUAGCAUUUUACUUAUUUUAAUUCCCUUGAGGCUGUUUGUAUAAAAUUUAGUGAAGAAUAAAACUCUUAGCCUUCCCAACCCAUCACCCUUUGAUUGGUGAUACUCUUAAAUAUGGACAUUGUAGUUUGUCACUGAUGAUUAAUCCUCUUUCUGUUGAUUCCAUGUUGUUAAAGUCUGUAUAACUAUUUUUCUUUAUCUAUUGUUGUAUUAGCUAAAAAAUCUGCUAUUUUAUUUCA
Molecule: long non-coding RNA, 677 nt
Organism: Capsicum annuum
Lineage: Eukaryota; Viridiplantae; Streptophyta; Magnoliopsida; Solanales; Solanaceae
Exons: 2
Source: RefSeq, a predicted model, not a curated record